UGGUGGACAGUGGCAGACGGGUGAGUAACGCGUGGGAAGUGCCUUUCGGUUCGGAAUAACCCAGGGAAACUUGGGCUAAUACCGGAUACGCCCUUCGGGGGAAAGAUUCAUUGCCGAAAGAUCGGCCCGCGUCGGAUUAGCUAGUUGGUGGGGUAAUGGCUCACCAAGGCGACGAUCCGUAGCUGGUCUGAGAGGAUGACCAGCCACACUGGGACUGAGACACGGCCCAGACUCCUACGGGAGGCAGCAGUGGGGAAUUGUUCGCAAUGGGCGCAAGCCUGACGACGCAACGCCGCGUGGAGGAUGAAGAUCUUCGGGUCGUAAACUCCUUUCGAUCGAGACGAAUUCCUUCCGGAUGAACAUUUCGGGAGGUUGACGGUACCGAGAGAAGAAGCCC
This 397-nucleotide ribosomal RNA is filed under the name uncultured soil bacterium. RNAcentral's name for it is "bacterial SSU rRNA". It matches the Rfam family "Bacterial small subunit ribosomal RNA", at positions 86 to 493 of the family's 1533-position model. The record is from RNAcentral.